GCCCUCGUAGCCCAACAGCAGAGGCACCCGCCCAGUGCGCGGCCGCAGUCCGGGUGCGAAUCCCGGCGAGGGCACCA
RNAcentral lists this transfer RNA (77 nucleotides) under Streptomyces sp. T12. Its description in RNAcentral is "tRNA-Thr". Lineage: Bacteria; Bacillati; Actinomycetota; Actinomycetes; Kitasatosporales; Streptomycetaceae. The record is from RNAcentral. RNAcentral also lists the same sequence under 1 other name.